AUCCCAGGGAAGCCACGCGCUGCCACAUCACGCCCGGAAGGAAGCAGGCUGCGUUGGAGGCUCCCUCUGAAUGAUGACCAGUGAGGCCCCGCAAGACAGCCUCCCGAGGCCAAGCCACCGAGCUGCAGGAUGAAGAUGAUCUUUCUGGGCUCCUGAUGUCCAGACCCUGUCUCAACUUUCAGCACGUUCAGAGUACCUGUGGCUGCUGUGGGCAGAGAGGAGGUACGGGGGAAGUCCCGGCCGACUUAUCUAUCGGCAGAGAGACUGAGCCUCCACGCCACCCCAAUUCCCCCUGCCCUUUUGACCGAGCUCUGAACACAAGUUAGAGGAGCUGGGGGAAAGCUCCAAGCAGUCAAUACAUCAGCCGGCGAGCGCAUGCCAUGUCCUGUCUCAUGCUCGAUGCUGGGGAGGACGUCCCCACAAAUACCACAGCUCGAAUUCUCUGGUUGAGAAGGCAAGACUCACAGGCAGAGAACAAUAAAAAAACUAUUAAAGAGACCCCUGGCGUAGUCUGAGGAGCCCUGGAUAGACCAGAGUUCUAUCCCCAGACCUCAGGCCUGAAGCAGGUCCCUGUACCUCCAAAAGCUGCAGCCACACCAUGUUAUAGACAACUUCUCAUCGCCUGGAUUGUGGAUGGCAGUGGCGCAUCUGAUCGAAGGGUACUGGCGCCUGCAGCACUGUGCUGAGGAGGGCUCUGAGGCAGCAGCAAGCUUAGUAGGACUGUGGUGGCCAACCAGUGAGGCGAGCAUUAGGUGCCACCGGGAUGUCAUGGGGAUGUACCUCCUGCUUAUUAACUCUUCUGGUUAACAGCAACUGACUAGGGCCAUUCCUAAGGACUCCUCCAGCUCCCAAAUGGGAUAAUUCUAUGAUGGAAAUGUUACAUUUCAAGGCACUGGCUGGAGCACAAUGAGGCAAAACAGGAAGAGAUCUGUGUGGGUUGGGAUGAUCAGGGAAGGCUUUGGGAAGGAGGCGGCACUUUAGUGCGGCCUCAAGGUGGGGGAGUGUGAGUAGCUGUACCGGAGGUGGGAGGACAUUUAUGUGCAUAAAACUGGGGCUGAGCAUGGGCUGUUCUUGGUACAAGAGGGAGGCGGCUAGCAUCGCUGUCAUGCGCUGUCUGUGUUUGGGGCAAGUAUGAUUACACAUGGGAGAGCACACUGCCUGACAGCUUCCCACAUUGAAGCCACAAGCAAAGAUGACGUUGCAUGCGUGCUGGCUUCCAGUCCUCACAGCUCGUCUUCAAGGCAAAUGCUCUUCCCAGCCUUCCCCAGCAUUCUGUGACUUGCUCAGGGCUACUGCUGGCAGGCGCCAAUCCCGCAUUCAGCCUGGGCAGCGCGGUUCUGAUGGCUUCGGGCAUAACUUCUCCGCUCUGGUGCCUUCUCUACUCUUAGAAGCUGAUCAGUAAGGAAACCCAGCAAUGCAGUCGAGACACCGUGGCCAGAUCUGUGGAUUCUAGGGACCAGGAAGAGGCAGGACCAGCUGUAGACUGAGGAAGGAGGGCCUUGCCUGAGUCAUCAGUCACAUAAACAGAUCCAAGCAAAGAACAGGGCAAGGUGGACAUAGAUCAAAGAUAGGCGCUAAGUGCCACUGGGCUAGGGCUUCCUUUAGACUUUCCCCAAGUCCUACAUCAUCUACUGGAAACAACAAAAAGUGUCCCAACACUGUGGGAAUAGGCAAGAAGGUACAGGAGGGCAUGAAAUUCCAGGGACGUGGGGCUCAGCCUGUGAGGAUGGGAAUAGAGCCUGCCAUGGUCUUAACACAAGCCCAGAGGCAGAAGGCAACUGCCUAAAUAAAGAUCUCAUUUCAGACAAAGCUUAACCCUGCCUUUGCCCAGGGCUGCAGCCUCCAGCCGUCUCCACGCUGUCCCUGCCUGGCACCUGGUGGUGCGCUGGGGAACUUUCGCUCUUUCUCCCUCCUUUCCCAGCCCUCUCUCCUUCCUUCCUCCCUUACUGGUUUCACGGACAGCUCCAGCCUCCACUCAGCUUGGCCUCAGUUCAAUGGCACCCAGAAGGCCCUGUUGUGCACCGCCCCAGGCCCCUAAGCAGGGGAAGAUGCUGUGUCUCGUCUUGCUUUCUUCACCCCUCCCACCACCCUUGUGCCCACCCAUCCGGGGAUGGAUCUGAAACCAGCCCAGGUAUGAAACUCUCUGGCCUCUCUCCCAAACAUCCUGGUGCCCCUGCCCCCCUUGCUCUGGUCCCACUCCAUCUCAAGCCCCCUCUGCAGUCCUUCCUUCUGGUUUCUCCCUCCGGCCUCCAGGAGGCCUCUGGUGCCCGCACAACUUCCCGGCAUUGAGGAAGGACCAGAGCUGUAACGUGGGGCUGGAAGGUCCCAGAACCACCAGCUAGUCCCGCCCUGCCAGCCUCUCCUUGUUAAGCCCUCCCUCCUGCUGUUCAGUCUAUGCUCGAUGACUAGAGGCCUGAUUUUGAAACUCUCUUUUGGGGCCACUGGGUCGGGCCAGCCCUCCUCACUGUCAGGAAAUGCAUCCUCAUUUCUUACCUUAAUUUCUCAACUGCAUCCGUUCUUUCUUGUUCUGGGAAGUCACCCGGCGUGAUGCUGCAACCAUGCUACUCCUUAGCGCUCUGCUUCCCACCCAAAGCAAUGCUCCUCCUCAUCUUUUCCAAAGCUUCCAGCCCCAGCAGUUCUUGGACCUGGGGUACUUUCCUCCCUGCAAGUAACAAAGGAGGACAAGCCCCAGCUUCUCUAAGAUGCCUUCGGCUGCCUGGAAGAGGCCUGUGGAAGGCCCUGCAACUCUCCGCAGACCUCUGGGCAUUGCUGCUUCUUCUCAGUGGCCCUCGUCCCCUCAGCCAGGUGAGUCACCAUCAUCCUUGCUCCUCCCAGACCCGAAACCUCUCCUCUCCCAUCCUUCCUUCUCUUUGUAUCUCUUUCCGUUUACAUGCGCGAACGAACACGUGCCCACACACACAUAUCAUUUCAGGCCCUAUCUGGAGCUGUCAUUGACAGAACUCAAAUUGUGAUAGGCAAAUUGGCUUCAAUUUCAGAGAAAGGAAACCCAGUGAUGCAUCUCCCGGUGCCUGGAGAGCGAGGAGAUAAGAGAGCAGAGAUGGGCUGCCUCGGCCAGCAGCACUGGAGCGGGGACUGUAGCCAGGGAAGCGGGUCUUCUGCGGCUCUGGCUCAGGCACUGGAGUCCUGAGUGCUGGGGAGCCUGGCUUGAGUCUCACCCCCCACGUGAUGUGGGAUAACAAAAGGAGGAUGGAUCACCUCCGAGAUGCACUGAGCCCUUCCCCAGGGCUUCUCUAAGACAACCCAAGGUCUUUCCUAGCGGGAAUCAGACGUCUACAGCAGGGACCCCUUAGCCCCCAGAUGCCACAUCCUACAUGUAGGGCUGGUCACCGUCCUGGCAGUUAGGAGGGGAUGGGUGAGAGCUGCUGCCGAAAGAGGAGCAGCCAUUCUGAUGCCAUCAUACCUCUGCUUGUCCCCAUUACAUAAAGCUCCAGCUGACUUGGCGUAAUGACUAAGAAAACUUUCCAAACUUCCCGAAGACAGUUGGUGAUCCUCUACCCUCCCGGUGACUGGUGAGAACUACCCCCACAGAGAGCCAGCAGAGAGGAAGGCUCCAGCUCCGGGCCCUGACUCAUCACACACACACACUCCCCAGCACUCUUUCCCAAAACAGUUCCCCUCCCACCCAUCCACCCUCCUACCGGGGCUGGGUGACAAAAAUGAACGCCCCAGAGAUCUUGCCAAGUUCUGGGCCAUGCUCAGCCCAGGGAACAUGCAAUUCCCCAUAGAAUGGGAGGAGCAGACCCCGCCCCCUCGGGAAGCAAGCAAAGUCCAUUGGAAGAAAAUUGCCACCUGACUGUACAAUGAUCACUGUAUUGUUUUCCAAAUAGCUUGGACUACUUUCCCCCAAGAAAGAGUUCAAAGCUGUAUCAUCAUAAAAUAUUAGAGCCUAA
Symphalangus syndactylus (siamang) is the source of this 3911-nucleotide RNA transcript. RefSeq lists it as uncharacterized. NCBI's taxonomy places the organism in Eukaryota, Metazoa, Chordata, Mammalia, Primates, Hylobatidae. The record is from RefSeq and is a predicted model, not a curated record.